Molecule: ribosomal RNA, 468 nt
Filed under: uncultured bacterium
Lineage: Bacteria
Description: partial 16S ribosomal RNA
Rfam family: Bacterial small subunit ribosomal RNA
Source: RNAcentral
GAUGAACGCUGGCGGCGUGCUUAACACAUGCAAGUCGAACGGUGAAGGCGGAGCUUGCUCUGCUGGAUCAGUGGCGAACGGGUGAGUAACACGUGAGCAAUCUGCCCCUGACUCUGGGAUAAGCGCUGGAAACGGCGUCUAAUACUGGAUACGAGCUGCGAAGGCAUCUUCAGCAGCUGGAAAGAAUUUCGGUCAGGGAUGAGCUCGCGGCCUAUCAGCUUGUUGGUGAGGUAAUGGCUCACCAAGGCGUCGACGGGUAGCCGGCCUGAGAGGGUGACCGGCCACACUGGGACUGAGACACGGCCCAGACUCCUACGGGAGGCAGCAGUGGGGAAUAUUGCACAAUGGGCGAAAGCCUGAUGCAGCAACGCCGCGUGAGGGACGACGGCCUUCGGGUUGUAAACCUCUUUUAGCAGGGAAGAAGCGAAAGUGACGGUACCUGCAGAAAAAGCCCCGGCUAACUACGUG